RNAcentral lists this ribosomal RNA (480 nucleotides) under uncultured bacterium. RNAcentral's name for it is "partial 16S ribosomal RNA". It matches the Rfam family "Bacterial small subunit ribosomal RNA", at positions 28 to 523 of the family's 1533-position model. The record is from RNAcentral.
GACGAACGCUGGCGGCGUGCUUAACACAUGCAAGUCGAACGGUAAGGCCCUUCGGGGUACACGAGUGGCGAACGGGUGAGUAACACGUGGGUGAUCUGCCCUGCACUUUGGGAUAAGCCUGGGAAACUGGGUCUAAUACCGAAUACACCCUGCUGGCUGCAUGGCCGGGUGGGGGAAAGCUUUUGCGGUGUGGGAUGGGCCCGCGGCCUAUCAGCGUGUUGGUGGGGUGAUGGCCUACCAAGGCGACGGCGGGUAGCCGGCCUGAGAGGGUGACCGGCCACACUGGGACUGAGAUACGGCCCAGACUCCUACGGGAGGCAGCAGUGGGGAAUAUUGCACAAUGGGCGCAAGCCUGAUGCAGCGACGCCGCGUGGGGGAUGACGGCCUUCGGGUUGUAAACCUCUUUCAGUAGGGACGAAGCGCAAGUGACGGUACCUACAGAAGAAGGACCGGCCAACUACGUGCCAGCCGCCGCCGUAA